UGAGUAACCUGCCCUUAACUCUGGGAUAAGCCUGGGAAACUGGGUCUAAUACCGGAUAUGACUCCACAUCGCAUGGUGGGGGGUGGAAAGCUUUAUUGUGGUUUGGAUGGACUCGCGGCCUAUCAGCUUGUUGGUGAGGUAAUGGCUCACCAAGGCGACGACGGGUAGCCGGCCUGAGAGGGUGACCGGCCACACUGGGACUGAGACNCGGCCCAGACUCCUACGGGAGCAG
This 232-nucleotide ribosomal RNA is filed under the name uncultured bacterium. RNAcentral's name for it is "partial 16S ribosomal RNA". It matches the Rfam family "Bacterial small subunit ribosomal RNA", at positions 118 to 347 of the family's 1533-position model. The record is from RNAcentral.